GGAGGGGUGCAAGCGUUAAUCGGAUUCAUUGGGCGUAAAGGGCGCGUAGGCGGGGGGAAGGCAAGUCAGAUGUGAAAUCCCGGGGGCUUAACCCCGGAACUGCAUUUGAAACUGCUUUUCUUGAGGAUAGGCGGAGAAAACGGAAUUCCAUGUGUAGCGGUGAAAUGCGUAGAUAUAUGGAAGAACACCCGUGGCGAAGGCGGUUUUCUAGCUUAUUCCUGACGCUAAGGCGCGAAAGCAAGGGGAGCGAACAGGAUUAGAUACCCUGGUAGUCCUUGCCGUAAACGAUGCAUACUAGGUGUAGCUGGACUCAACCCCGGCUGUGCCGGAGCUAACGUGUUAAGUAUGCCGCCUGGGGAGUACGCUCGCAAAGGGUGA
RNAcentral lists this ribosomal RNA (378 nucleotides) under uncultured organism. Its description in RNAcentral is "partial 16S ribosomal RNA". It matches the Rfam family "Bacterial small subunit ribosomal RNA", at positions 526 to 897 of the family's 1533-position model. The record is from RNAcentral.